ACCCGCACAAGCGGUGGAUGAUGUGGUUUAAUUCGAUGCAACGCGAAAAACCUUACCCACCUUUGACAUGGCAGGAAGUUACCAGAGAUGGUUUCGUGCUCGAAAGAGAACCUGCACACAGGUGCUGCAUGGCUGUCGUCAGCUCGUGUCGUGAGAUGUUGGGUUAAGUCCCGCAACGAGCGCAACCCUUGCCAUCAGUUGCUACGAAAGGGCACUCUGAUGGGACUGCCGGUGACAAACCGGAGGAAGGUGGGGAUGACGUCAAGUCCUCAUGGCCCUUAUAGGUGGGGCUACACACGUCAUACAAUGGCCGGUACAAAGGGCAGCCAACCCGCGAGGGGGAGCCAAUCCCAUAAAGCCGGUCGUAGUCCGGAUCGCAGUCUGCAACUCGACUGCGUGAAGUCGGAAUCGCUAGUAAUCGUGGAUCAGCAUGUCACGGUGAAUACGUUCCCGGGUCUU
Molecule: ribosomal RNA, 459 nt
Filed under: uncultured Hydrogenophaga sp.
Lineage: Bacteria; Pseudomonadati; Pseudomonadota; Betaproteobacteria; Burkholderiales; Comamonadaceae
Description: bacterial SSU rRNA
Rfam family: Bacterial small subunit ribosomal RNA
Source: RNAcentral